This 73-nucleotide transfer RNA is filed under the name Gemmatimonas sp. SG8_17. Its description in RNAcentral is "tRNA-Ala". It matches the Rfam family "tRNA". From Rfam's summary of the family: Transfer RNA (tRNA) molecules are approximately 80 nucleotides in length. Their secondary structure includes four short double-helical elements and three loops (D, anti-codon, and T loops). Further hydrogen bonds mediate the characteristic L-shaped molecular structure. tRNAs have two regions of fundamental functional importance: the anti-codon, which is responsible for specific mRNA codon recognition, and the 3' end, to which the tRNAs corresponding amino acid is attached (by aminoacyl-tRNA synthetases). tRNAs cope with the degeneracy of the genetic code in two manners: having more than one tRNA (with a specific anti-codon) for a particular amino acid; and 'wobble' base-pairing, i.e. permitting non-standard base-pairing at the 3rd anti-codon position. The record is from RNAcentral. Lineage: Bacteria; Pseudomonadati; Gemmatimonadota; Gemmatimonadia; Gemmatimonadales; Gemmatimonadaceae.
GGGGCUGUAGCUCAGCUGGGAGAGCGUCUGGAUCGCACCCAGGAGGUCAGGGGUUCGAGCCCCCUCAGCUCCA